This is a non-coding RNA of Schistosoma mattheei, 45 nucleotides long. Lineage: Eukaryota; Metazoa; Platyhelminthes; Trematoda; Strigeidida; Schistosomatidae. The record is from Rfam.
AUCCAGCUGACGAGUCUCAAAUAGGAUGAAACACGCGUCCUGGAU